This is a long non-coding RNA of Rhineura floridana, 255 nucleotides long. RefSeq lists it as uncharacterized. The transcript is spliced from 3 exons. Lineage: Eukaryota; Metazoa; Chordata; Lepidosauria; Squamata; Rhineuridae. The record is from RefSeq and is a predicted model, not a curated record.
GGGUAAAGAAAGUAUUAGGCCCAGAGAGGAGGAAGCGGGAGCGUGCAGAGGGCAAAGAGGGACCCAGAUUCAAAUCCCUGCUCAGGAGUGAAAUUCAGGUGGUGUCCUGGGCCCAGUGACAGUGUCGUGGUGAAGACAAAAGGAGGGGGACAAAUCAUGGCCCUUGAGAGCUGCUCCCUACGAAACGUGCAUCGUGGUGAAAGCUGUGGGAGUCCCAGAGCUGGCCUAGUUUACUCCUCCCUCUCAGGCAGCGCC